Molecule: long non-coding RNA, 2119 nt
Filed under: Helianthus annuus (common sunflower)
Lineage: Eukaryota; Viridiplantae; Streptophyta; Magnoliopsida; Asterales; Asteraceae
Description: hypothetical non coding rna
Source: RNAcentral
GGCUCGGCUCGUUUAAAAAUCGAAUCGAGCCGAGCCAGCUCAUUUUUCUUAACAAGCUGGAAAGUUGGGCUCGGGCUCGGCUCGUCAAAAGCUCGAGCCAGCUCGUGGCUCGUCGAGCCGGCUCGUUUGUUUAAAAAGAUUGUAUUUUUGUAUUUUUUAACACAAAAAUAUAUAAAAAACCAAAAAACAAUAAAUAAAACAUUAUUUAGGCUAAUAGAAUAGUAAUUUUGCGCAAACUAUAAAUCAAACGAACAAGAAAAUAUUCUAUGUUACUUGCCAUAAUAUAUUUUUUUUAAAAUCAAUAUUACUAAUUAAGACUAUAGCUUAACAAUCUAUCUCUUUCGAUAAAAAAUAACCAUGUUACUAAUUAAACAACAUUUCUUAAAUAUAUUAGAAUACAAACAUAUAUAAUUUGGGGUUUAAUUUAAACGAGCGAGCUAACGAGCCAACUACCGAGCGAGCCACGAAUCGAACCUACCUUGGCUCGGGCUCGGCUCGUUUACAAACCGAUCCGAGCCAGCUCGUUUAAAACCGAGCUGACUUCGAACUUUUUUCGAGCGAGAGCCCCGAGCCACGGGCUUUUUGGACAGCCCUAAUAAACACCACCAACUUUGGACUUAAAACAUAGAUUAAAUCAUAAAACCAACAACUGAAAUAAAAUUCAAAUUCAAGUGCCUAAUAAAACCAAAUCAAAACCCUAAAUUUAAAAAAAUAUAUAUAAAAAAAAAAAAAAAAAAAAAAAAAAAAAAACAUACCAUGUGAGGAUACUUUUCUUGAUCAACAACUCUGGUGUUCUCGAGCUUAAUAUUAAGGUACUGAUCGACCGAAUGAAGAGUUCCUUGUAUCGCCAGAUCGUUCUUCAGUUCCACUGUGACUUCUCGGCCCACUAAAUCCUUGAAGUACGAGAAGAACAACUGUAAUAGUUGAACACGAACAUAGAUUCAUCAUAAGAAUGUAUAGCAAAAGAUGAUUUUUGAAAGUAGAAACGAAGAUUGUUGCAGAUCGGUAGUCAUACCAUUUUCUAGGGUUUGUUUUUUCCCGCUUUAAGGUGACGUUACAGAAUGAAUGAGGAGAGCGUAUGAGAGUGUCACUAAAUUUAUAACAUAUAAACCCGGAAAUAGUAUUCGGGUCGGUAAUUGAGUUAAAAAAAUGUUAUUAGUGUUGAGUCGAUUAGCCGAAUUUUGUUUUUUAUUGUGAACAUGAUGUUCUGUUUUGGUGUUUCGAUGGUUGUUUGAGCGACUAAAAAGAUUCGAUUUGGUUAAUAUGAUUUGAUGUUUUAUUUUUGAGUAAACUGCAAUUUUACCCCCUGAGGUUUGGGGUGAUUGGCAUGUCUACCCCCUAAGGAAAUAAUUGCAAUUUUAACCCCCACUGUUCACCCUUAUGUCGCAUGUUUACCCCCCGGCGUUAGUUUUGAUUAACAGUCAACAUAAUAAGGUAAUGGUCAAAGGGUAAAAUAGUCAUUUUGCUAUUAAUGUGAAGCUUGUUCUCUACAACAUCCCUAUAAGUAACAUAAAGAAGCAGAAUUACCCCCCCCCCCACCUUCCCACCCACCAUCAGUCAUCUUCUCCGGCGACAGGCUUCACCGGCGGCGAUCAGUGAUUCUCCUCCGAUCAGUCUUCUCCUCCGGCGAUCAGGGAUCUCCUCCGAUCAGUCUUCUCCUCCGGCGGCAACAACUCCUCCGCUAUCUCCUCCGAUCAGUCUUCUCUACAAAAUGCCGGUUGUGUGUUGGCUAAUCGCUAUCUCCUCCGCCACACCGCAGGUAUAAUCGGCCAUUGUUAGUUAAUCAGGGUCAGAUUUAGUCAUUAUCAUGUUAUAAACAGGGUUAGGGUCUGAUUUGGUUCACUAUUGGUUUUUUUACAGUUGACCUGACGAUGAGCUUAUCAAGCUCAUCAUUGGUGGUCCACCUGGUGGUCUCCGUGUUUGGGAGGCAUGUCCUCAACUUCCAUUAUCCACCGGAGAGUUGAGCGGAUGAUAAGAUAGUAGUUAUGUAGGAAUAGUUGUAUUUUGUAGGUUAAGUUGUAGGUUAACUUAACUUUGAAGUAGGAUAAUCCCAGAAGUGUUGAUGUUUUGAUGUUAACUUAACUUUGAAGUAGGAAUGGAUUACAUUUUGUCCAUUUGA